AUAUAUAUCAAAUAAAAUAUUUAUCAUGUCCAAAUCAUAAGUAAAUUUUAAUUUAUCGAGAAACCAAAUUAAAAUAUUCAAACUUGAAUAAAAGGUAAUCAAUAUAAGUGAUAUAAGUUAUAUAAAAGAAUUGCAUAUAUUAUCCUUCUUCCAUUCUCUUUAUCCUCGUCCAAAGAAAAAAAAUUAAGAGAAAAUUUAAAAUACUCUAUAACAUAUAUCUAUUAAUCUACAUUAUUCUCAAUAGUGAACCCAUAUCUGCUUCCGUUUACUUUUUUAUAAAAAAAAAAAUUACUCUCUUAAAUAAAAAUUUAUUGCUCAUUAAUUAUUUAUCUUUUUUUUAUUCAUAUUCUACACCAUAAUCUAGCACAUUACUCAGCUAUUCUUUAUUGUUUUUUCGGUAUGAGUCGCAGAUGAGUUGAUUCUCCUCAAAUGAAUUUGAAUUCUAUAUAUUAAAAAAAUGGUUUCUAACUAUGCUAAAUUGUGAAUGAAUCGAAUUCAAAAUGUAGCUUUUGAAUACUAAAAAAUUAACAAAGAAAUUACCAACAGUAAUUUAUUCCCCCGCAGAAACAUAUUUCAACACUUUGAUUACCAUUGGCAAUAGAAUUAACUUUCUCAAUAAUUGGCAUCCACUACAAGGGAACAACCUUUUUUUUUUCAAAAAUGCACUAUUAUGCUGUUAAUCAUGUAAAUUUAGAAUAUUAGAAUAUAAUUUGUGUACAAAAUAUAUAUAUACACACACACCAACCUAGAGGGAAACAUCUAUCCUAUUUUAGUUUAAAUUAGUUUUCAUAUAUAUGAUAUUCUUUCAUCUAGGCAAAACAAACAUAAAUUUACAGUUCACUAUUUUAGGAUGAUUGAUGAGUGAAAUGAAAAAGAAGAGUGAGGAAAAAAUGAAGUAUGUAGAAAUAAGAUGAAAGAGAAUUGGAAUGAAAAAUUCGCUCUUAUUCUAUUUAUGCUACGAUUUUAACGGUGUCACGUAUCUGAAACACCAAUCAUUGUCAUACAUACCAACGUUAGCUUCAUUCUUAAUUUUCACACGUAAAAUUAACAGCUGCAAUGAACAACACACACAACUGACACCAUUGCAUGUUACAACCAUAUAUUCAUUCUGCAUCAGUACGAUCUGAAUUUGCAAACAGUGAACCUGAAAGCGAUCACCAGACAGACAACUAAUCAAAAGAAUAACUUGGUAGUAGAAAAACAAUGCCACCACUUUUCAGAGAAAUUAAUAAUUUAAUUUCAACACACUGAUCUUCACCCUAUAUAUAUAUGAACUAGUUUGACAUCAUUUUAAACAACUUUUUGAAAGUAACUCCUAUAAAAGUUAACAGCUUUUAAUUUUAUAGUAAACAAAAAAGAUCAAAUCAUAUCCAGUGUAAAAAAGUCUUGCACUGAUCACUGUUAACAUAUUAUAUAUAAUCUUGUUCUCAAUGAUGUUCAUUAGCCAUUUGUGCACCAGACAGCAGAAGCUGGCUUGGAACAAAAACCUAAGAGAAGAGUGAAGAAGUUAAUGGAAUGUGUAGGUUGAGAACUGAGACAUAUAUCCAAGAUAAUAUAUUUAUCUCACUUCUUUUCUUCGGUUUUGGGGCCUUAUUUGUUUGUUUGUGGAAAUUGUUAAUUGCAUUGUUAAACAUGUUAUCAUGUGAUCAUCACUCAAUGUUAAACAUGAAGGAAAAAGGUUUUUUAACCCAUGCUUGACUACCAUUUGACAAUCAUUAUAGAAGUAAAAUAAUUUUAAUAAAUGUUAAUUUUUUGUAUUUUUAAAAAAUAAAAAAUCGAAAAAAUGUAAAAAUACUAAAGUAAAUGUGUAAAAAAAUUACUGUUUUUGUGGAAGAAAAGUAAAGAAAAAGAAGAGAGAGGUGUACAGUGAAAAGAAGGAAAAGAAAAGGGAACCUUGUUGUCUGUAGGUCCAUUUUAGCUUACAUACUUGCGUGCCAUUUUGGGAGCUGUUUUAGCACAGUAACUUUUGUCCCUCUUUUACUUUUUUUCUUCUACUUUCUGUAGGGAAGAUAAAUACCCUUUUUCACCUUUUAUUACUUGAAAUUUCUCCAUUUUUUAAGAUAAAAGUUUAGGUGAGAUUAGUAUCAAAUACUCAUAAACACAAAACUUUAAAAGCUUUUGCAGAACUAUUUAUAAACUACUCACCAAUGGAGUUCUCACAUAAACAACAAGGUGAAUCAAUUUUGUCUUGUAAAUAUAAAGGUUUCUUAUCAACUAGUAUGGUGUAACAUGCAAAUACACUCUCCUUUUUUUCCUUUUCCAAAGAUGGUUUUUAUUGUAGAAAAGUAUGAUGUUUCUUUUCAAGAGAUCAAUAUAUAUGUUCGUUUUGAAACGUGCCAUGACUAAUUUAUCUCGUUUUUAAUUAACUAAGCUUUGAUGAAAGUCAAUUCUGAACACAUGUUAUCAUUCUUUAGAUUUCAUAAAAUAAAAAGUUUAAAAAAUUUCUAAAAUCUGAUACAGAAAAUGUUCAUAUAAAGUCAAUAGUAUAAUAAGAUGGUAGAAACUAUAUUUCACUGGCAUUUAGAACUCAGAUAGACCAAAGAAUAUCCUGAAAGUUUUAUUGCAAUCAAUUGUUAUUACUAAAAGGUUCUGAAGGCAAAAAUAAGGUAUUUUCAAUAUAAUAAAUAGGUAUAACUAGAAGGACCACAUAAUAAAUAAUUAGGAGUAAUAUUUUUAACUCAAAAGAAACUUAAAUUAAUUAACAUAAAUUUCCAUGGAUCAACAAAUGCAUAUAUCAUGGCUGGAAAUGACGUUGUUUAAACCAAGAAUUUGAGAUUUUGAAAAGAUUUGUGAAAUAAAGAGUUUUGUUGCCUAGCUCCAAGGUUACUGAAGUAAUGGUAACUUUUUUAAAGGAAAAUUUAUGCUAAGAUUAAUUUCAUAAUCAGUGUCAUUGCUCCCACAAAAAAUGAUUUGUGGUAACUUUUUAAAGUUUUAUGGGUAAGUGUAAAAAAAAAAUUGUAAAUCAAUAAAAAAUCAUCAUUAUAUUAUGACUUCUAAGUUAUUAUGGUAAAAGUUUUCUGACACACCUUGACCUUUUUAUAUUGAAGACUGUGUUCUCAAAACAUAAUGUGAAUUCAUAAAAAUACAUAUACAAAAGAUUAAUGACUUGACUGGGUCAUAAUAAUUAAUAAUAAUUAAUGUGUUGUGAUACUAGAUAGCAGUAUUAUAAGUCAAUUGAUCCAACAUAUUUGUAGCAGUUCUAAAGAGCAAGUGAGCUACAAACAUAAAAUCUAACUACCGAAGUUAAAAAAUCAUAAUUAAUCAGCAAGAGGUUUAAAAGCUGUGUAAUUAAAGGCAGCAGCAGCAACACAGCCAAGCAGCAAGAAGAAUUAUUAUGUUACUGAUAACACUAUUUGGAUACAAAGCUAGAGCAGUUUUUAGAAAUCUAUACUUUCAAUUGAUAGAAAAAAUCCCAAAAAAAGUAGUAUUAUUUUGACACCCAACAAAAUUUUUACACAAUCUAGUAUUUUAUCCUUUAAUCUUUGCCUUUCUUAUAAAUACAAAAUAUAACGUUUUUAAUGACCAAAAUAUCCUAAAAGUAGGGUCAACUGGUGUAUUUAGUGUGACAAAUAAACAUUUUCCUUAAUGAAAAUAGCAGCCAGAAACACCCACAUUUGCUAAAAAGUAAUAAUAAAAUGACUCACAUUACAUUCAUCAUUUACCUUCAUUUGAUACAUAUCACAAUGAAAAUUGUAAGAAUGAAAUGAUAAUAAAAGAGUGAAAUUUUUGUAUUUUAAAAAAAUAUAAAAUAAGAAAUAAGAAAGGAUAAUGUUGAGGUAAAAAGUUUUGUGUAUGAAGUAUCAUUUCUCUUUUCUAAAUAAUCACAGUAUAUUUCGUAAAGUGUACCAAACAAGACAUAAUUGCAUAACUGUGAAAACACAUACAGUAUGUUUAAAGAGUAGUUGCAUGGCCAGAUUUCCAGAUCCAGAAAGCUGGCUGUGUUCUUUCCAACAUAUUGAUUUCGUUGAAGAAUGAACUAAUUUAAGUGUUAUGAUAUUACCAUGAUCAAUUUCAUCCACCAGCUUGUCUCUCCAUAUAUAGCUCUUGACAGUGAUAUACACAGAUUACUAGUUUUAAGCACAAACAAGCACUUACACCCUCAUUGAUUAGACUCCAUGGUAAUUUUCUAUAUACAUGCAUCUACAGAGGUGGAUUAAAAGUCACCGUACGGCAUGGGAAUUGGCACAAAAAUUAAGAAAUUCCAAUGUAAAAAUAAUAUUUUGCUUCAGUCAAAUUGAUUUCAUUUUCUUUUCUUUUUCUCAAAUAUAUAUUCCCCACUCAUUAAUUCAGCAAUAUCCUUGGAGCUCCCAUAAUUCUUACAAUGAGGAACUGAAUCUCAGAAGUGUUCAGUUCUUGAGCUUCCUCACAGUAAAAGCACAGACAAUAUGUUUGAUGUUUCUUUCACCAAAAAAUAUCUUAACUAAACUUCCCCAUAAUAUUUUUCAUGUUUCAUUUCAUUUUGUUAUCAUGGGCAUGAAUUUUAAUGUCAUUACUAACUAGCUCUGGAGGAUCCUUUUACCAACAUUUUGCUCCUAAAACUCAAGCAAAUAGUUCUCACUGGUUUCUUUAAGUCUCCCAAAUGCUGUUUGUAGUUUAAAAGCAGACUCUAACAUCAAGGUGGAUUCCAUAUUGGAAUACUCCCAAUCACAGAUGUAUAGAUGUUGCAUUCUAAAAGCAAGUUAACAGUAAAAUUCCAUGCCCAAUGUAGAAGAUGUUUCAACUCAACUUAAUUUUUCAACAUCAAAACCAAACUUAAAUAUUCAUCAUGUUAACUAGUAUUCCAAUGUGAUUUUUCAUGAUUCAAAGUGAAUCCAAACAAACAUUUUGUGCCCAUAUCCAACAAUCAGUAAUUUUGCAAGGUAUUUUUUCAUAGAGAUAAUUCAGAAAGACUCUAGCAUUCCUUCAAAAUGCCAAUUAUUUUUAAUUUCUUUUUCCUAUCAGAAGCAAACUUAUGAUGUAUAUAUAUACAAUACUACUGGCAUAUAUUGUUUAUGAUUGAUUCAAAUUUAUUGGAAAUCAGAAAAUUUAGUUAAUCAAACUUUCUAUUUAGUUAGUCUCUCUCUAGAUUUUAUAAACUUCAACCAAUAAUAUGAAACGUGUCGCUAUCUAUUCUCUAUCCUCGUUUAGAAAACUAUUUCAGUAGAAUGUUCCCAUAUUGGUGAUGGAGGCAUUGUUGGAAUUUAUUGUUACCUUCUAGCAGUAAUUUUGUGUUGCAGUUAUUUAUUUGUUUGGGGGGCUUCAAUUAACAGUGCUUGGACUGUAGAUUCUGUUUCACCAUCCUUCAAAAGCUGUGUGAUGUUAAUAUCAAUCUCCUCCAACUUCUUCACCAGAAUAAGGAAACAAACAGGAAAUGACUUUCACAAAAACAUGCCCUUCAACCUGUUCCUCAAUCUAUCAUCACAGAGACCAAAAAAUCACCCUCAGAGAAAGAAAAUCUCAAUAUAAAUAUCCAAAACCAGGUUCAACUGAAAAAAUAAAAUAAAGUUGAACAAAAUCACCUGACCUGACACCUUCUUUGCUCAUUUUAGGAGUGAAAAUCAGUGAAUCACAGUGUGUUACUCACUCCCUCCCACUCAAAAAUAAAAUAAAAUCCCCUCCAGAAAAAAAAGAAGAAGAAAAAGUGCUGAGCUAGAACUGCAAAUCCAUAUUUUUUUAUCACCAAGUCCAUACUCCAUCAGAAUAUUAAAUUAUAUUUCCUUUUCCUUACAGAAACAGCAGAAUGAUCCCUUGAUUAUGGAUUGGGGGCAGCAGGUAUCAUAACAAAAAUUAAGAACUAAUAUAUAUAUUAUCAUAUCAAUAAUCUUCAUAUGGUAAAGAAAUAGAAAAACAUAAAAUCGAAAAUGUAAGACCUUGCAACCUAGAAAUUUAAAUAUUAGUAUUAUAUGCACAUACCUAAAUAUAGAGAGCUUUGAGGAGGAAGAUUGAGAGUGAAGAGAGACAGAAACAGAGAGCUGAAAAUUGGAAUUGGAAUUAGAAAGCAUGAUGCAAAGGAAAGGAAACCAAAGUGUGAGAUUAGAUUAGAAAAUACUAGAGAAAGAGAGAAAGGGUGAGAGAAUAAUGUGUGCACUAAACGACAAGAAUAGCAUUAUGAUUAGUGGGUGGGUCCUACGUUUUUGUCGUUUUGUUUGACCGCAUGCAUCUAUGUUAUUUUCAGUCACUUCCUCCAUCAUUGUGCCAUAUCUCCAACCCAUUUUCUUCAAUGUAAUUAUAUUCUAAUUUUCAUUUUUUAUUUUUAAUCUACUACACU
Molecule: long non-coding RNA, 6247 nt
Filed under: Vigna radiata
Lineage: Eukaryota; Viridiplantae; Streptophyta; Magnoliopsida; Fabales; Fabaceae
Description: long non-coding RNA (VRAD_LNC004392)
Source: RNAcentral